UACGGAGGGGGCGAGCGUUACCCGGAGUUACUGGGCGUAAAGGGCGUGUAGGCGGUCUCUUAAGUCUGAUGCUAAAGACCGAGGCUCAACCUCGGGAGUGCGUUGGAUACUGUGAGUCUAGACGGUCGGAGAGGGCAGUGGAAUUCUAGGAGUAGCGGUGAAAUGCGCAGAUACCGAGAGGAACGCCAAUAGCGAAGGCGGCUGCCUGGACGAUGUGUGACGCUGAGGCGCGAAAGCGUGGGGAGCAAACGGG
RNAcentral lists this ribosomal RNA (253 nucleotides) under uncultured bacterium. Its description in RNAcentral is "partial 16S ribosomal RNA". It matches the Rfam family "Bacterial small subunit ribosomal RNA", at positions 524 to 776 of the family's 1533-position model. The record is from RNAcentral.